RNAcentral lists this long non-coding RNA (1610 nucleotides) under Daucus carota (carrot). RNAcentral's name for it is "long non-coding RNA (DCAR_LNC002998)". Lineage: Eukaryota; Viridiplantae; Streptophyta; Magnoliopsida; Apiales; Apiaceae. The record is from RNAcentral.
UGAGGUUACUAUAUUAGUAGGGAAAAUUUACUCUCAUCUAUCCUUCUCUUGCACUAGAUAUAAUUGGUGUUGAAAUAAAAGGAAGAUUAUGUGGCUAGCUGUAUAAUUUCUAGCAAGUCUUCCCACAACCUGAUGCUUAAGCCGGAUUCCUUGCUCUGGGUCCGAACCGAUAUUCCUCAUAAUUCAACUGUCCUAAAUUGUCAGUGUAGGAGUCUUCUAUUGCUUUUUGACCUUGCUAAAGCGAUAUUUGUGAUAGAUUUACUGGCUUUAGGCUUCUUGGCAAUUGUCCUGGGAGCAGGCUGCUACAGUGGGACUCCUAAUCACUCGCACAAGCAACCUCUAUAAAGCCUAUAAUAGAGGCUUAAAGACACUGCAGGAUAUCUGUGUCGUGCAUGUUAGUCUAAAUAGAGAAGAACUUACUUGUGUUGGGGAUAUGGAUGUAGAUACAGAUAAUUUCUAUCUUGGGCAGGACCGGAGGAGGUUAUAGUUGAUCUGAAUCCAAAAUUAUUGAUAUUUUAGGUGUUUCUAGGACCUAUGUCUUGCUAGUUUGUAAUAUCAAGCUUCUAAGCAAAAGCCACGUACUAGUUCAUAGUUUUCAGGGUGAAUGACAAGCUACCUGCAGAUUCAUAAUAACUAAAAUCCAUAAAUGUAUAGCUUACGAUGUUCUGGUNCUGGGAUGAUGUGAAUUUGUUUAUUUUAGUUGGUGUGAGAGUGUGGCCCUGUGGGAUGGAGGGUAGGGAGGUUGAUUAAAGAUUCUCUCAGAAUCGAACCGUUCCUGCAAUUUUUUCCAGUCUACAUUUUUCUUGUGCGAUAGCAAUUUUGUUAUGUCUUAACUUUAGUGAGAAAACUUAAUUUGGAUCGACUUAGUGUUAGGAUAAGAAGCUGCUAAUUGCCAGCCUGUGGAGUUGGCUACAUAAAGGGUUAUUUGUUUUGUACUUUUGAGCAUAUUAUGAUCAUCUCGAAAUAGUGGUAAAAAUGCUAUUACAUCAGAAUCUGUUAGUGAGAUGCAAUCAGUAAUAAUUUUGUCCAGUUUCUGCAACACCUACAGGCUACAAUAGAGGUUCUUAUGAGGUUACUAUAUUAGUAGGGAAAAUUUACUCUCAUCUAUCCUUCUCUUGCACUAGAUAUAAUUGGUGUUGAAAUAAAAGGAAGAUUAUGUGGCUAGCUGUAUAAUUUCUAGCAAGUCUUCCCACAACCUGAUGCUUAAGCCGGAUUCCUUGCUCUGGGUCCGAACCGAUAUUCCUCAUAAUUCAACUGUCCUAAAUUGUCAGUGUAGGAGUCUUCUAUUGCUUUUUGACCUUGCUAAAGCGAUAUUUGUGAUAGAUUUACUGGCUUUAGGCUUCUUGGCAAUUGUCCUGGGAGCAGGCUGCUACAGUGGGACUCCUAAUCACUCGCACAAGCAACCUCUAUAAAGCCUAUAAUAGAGGCUUAAAGACACUGCAGGAUAUCUGUGUCGUGCAUGUUAGUCUAAAUAGAGAAGAACUUACUUGUGUUGGGGAUAUGGAUGUAGAUACAGAUAAUUUCUAUCUUGGGCAGGACCGGAGGAGGUUAUAGUUGAUCUGAAUCCAAAAUUAUUGAUAUUUUAGGUGUUUCUAGGACCUAUGUCUUGC